RNAcentral lists this ribosomal RNA (452 nucleotides) under uncultured soil bacterium. Its description in RNAcentral is "bacterial SSU rRNA". It matches the Rfam family "Bacterial small subunit ribosomal RNA", at positions 946 to 1384 of the family's 1533-position model. The record is from RNAcentral.
GGAAUUCGAUUAACGCGAAGAACCUUACCUGGGCUAGACAACGGCGGACCAUCCUAGAAAUAGGAUUUUCCCUUCGGGGACUGCCGGUUCAGGUGCUGCAUGGCUGUCGUCAGCUCGUGCCGUGAGGUGUUGGGUUAAGUCCCGCAACGAGCGCAACCCUUGCCUUUAGUUGCCACCAUUCAGUUGGGCACUCUAGGGGGACUGCCGGCGUUAAGCCGGAGGAAGGUGGGGACGACGUCAAGUCAUCAUGGCCCUUAUGUCCAGGGCCACACACGUGCUACAAUGGACGGUACAAAGGGUCGCAAACCCGCGAGGGGGAGCCAAUCCCAAAAAGCCGUUCUCAGUUCGGAUUGGAGUCUGCAACUCGACUCCAUGAAGCUGGAAUCGCUAGUAAUCGCGGAUCAGAACGCCGCGGUGAAUACGUUCCCGGGCCUUGUCACACCGAAUCACUA